AUGCGCGGCGGCGGGCUGCUCCGGGCCCUGGCGGGCAGGUUGCGCGCGGCCCUCGUCGGCCGCAUCCGCUACGGUGGUGGCCGGGCCGGCGGCGGAGGUGGCGGCCCGGCUGCGAGGGGAGGCCACGUGGUGAGGACCGAUGGAUCCACCGGCCGCGGCUCAUACAAGGGGGGAGGCUCUUACGGCGGGAGGACCGGCGAGGGCGGGCAGGGCUCGUACCAGGCGGGAGGCUCUUGCGGCGGGAGGACCGGCGAGGGCGGGCAGGGCUCAUACCACGGGGAAGGCUCAUAUGGCGGGAGGUCCGGGGGAGACGGCGCCGGGCAUGGGCAUGGGCAUGGAGGGAGCGCACGUGGUGGGCGCGGCGAGCGCGGGUCGGAGCAUGAGCAGGCCAACGGUUUCUGGGGAGGCCUUCGGCGCCGCCUGAAGAAGACGCUUGAUGAGCGUGACCUGCUGGAGGACCUCGAGGAGCUGCAUUACCAAGUAGAGCGAGUCGAAAGGCUCCAGAACCUACCGGAGAGGAUCGCAGAAAUUGGGCAGAAGUUCCAUGAUCACUGGGUUACGGUCAGCCUUGCCUUCAGCACAAUGUAUGCUACUGUAUCAGGGAAGGUUCAGGACCGGGCUGUUUCAGUGAAGGCCAAGAUGAUUGACCAGGCUGUUUCAGUGAAGGCCAAGAUGAUAGGAGUGAAGGAUAAACUGAAGGAAAGGCUCUCUCCGCAGAAGGUCAGACCGAACGAAGAUCAGCUCGAAGAUGAACCUAUUGCCAUUCCAUUGGCAACAGAUUUCUCUCCGUGA
RNAcentral lists this ribosomal RNA (792 nucleotides) under Triticum aestivum (bread wheat). RNAcentral describes it as "partial small subunit ribosomal RNA". The record is from RNAcentral. Lineage: Eukaryota; Viridiplantae; Streptophyta; Magnoliopsida; Poales; Poaceae.